UACGUAGGGACCGAGCGUUGUCCGGAUUCAUUGGGCGUAAAGAGCUCGUAGGCGGCUGCUCAAGUCGAAUGUGAAAACUCGAGGCUCAACCUCGAGCCUGCUCCCGAUACUGCCGACCUGGAGACCAGUAGAGGUGGGUAGAAUUCCCGGUGUAGCGGUGGAAUGCGUAGAGAUCGGGAAGAAUACCUGUGGCGAAGGCGGCCCACUGGGCUGGAUCUGACGCUGAGGCGCGAAAGCGUGGGGAGCAAACAGGG
Molecule: ribosomal RNA, 254 nt
Filed under: uncultured bacterium
Lineage: Bacteria
Description: partial 16S ribosomal RNA
Rfam family: Bacterial small subunit ribosomal RNA
Source: RNAcentral